UUCAUUUUGCAAUAUUUGUUUUAAAAAUCAAAACUACAUGAGCAAGUUAUUGCAAUUAAGAUACAGGGUAUGAAACGUGCAGUCAUGAAGGAGUGAUUUUGUUUGUGUUGCAUUGUUUUCUUUUUUGCUUCAAGGGGUAUUUAUUUCCCUUUCUUUCUUAUUUUUGAUUUUGCUAUUAGUCUGUUCAUCCAUUAUAUUUAAAAAUAUAUACGCUUUCAAUUUAUAACAUACUUUAUUCAGUUGAUAUCUAAUUCAUAGAUUUUUUUCUCUUUCAGUCCUCAUUCAAAUUCAAAUUCAAAGAACCCAGUGCUGUUCAUGAGCCAUUUAAGCAGAGGUUUAAACAUCAGUAAAAUGAUGGUUAUGGCAGUCUUUGACAUCCACGUGAUGAUACAAGAGUGAACUGGAGUUUCCUAUUUAUUUCUCAGAAUUUGCUGAUCUUCCCUAUUACACUGUGCACUUUGUAUUCUUCCCUGCUUGAAUAAAAAGUUAAAAUCA
Long non-coding RNA from Ostrea edulis (European flat oyster), 495 nucleotides. RefSeq lists it as uncharacterized. The transcript has 2 exons. The record is from RefSeq and is a predicted model, not a curated record. Lineage: Eukaryota; Metazoa; Mollusca; Bivalvia; Ostreida; Ostreidae.